UUCUUUUACAGCUGAUACACCACCCAUCUCCUCUCAUUUGCCAUACAGAACACCGGCGAUGGAGAGAGAUAACCAUGUUUGAGAGAAAGAGGUAGAGCGUUGCGAGAGUAGACAUAGAAAGAGGGAGCCAACGAUCGACGAUUAAGAAGGCGACGACGGUGGUUCUGUUUUUGGCGAUGGCGGUGACUUCAAGUAACGAAGACCCGACUAGGGUUCAAGCGACAUUCCGGCUACCCCUUUUUACACUUUUCACUCUCCUCUUUCCAUCCAGUAUCAAUUGUCAUCUUUGCUUACAUUAUUGGGGAUCUUGCGAAUUAUAGACGAUUUUAGGUUCCGAUCUCAAGUCUCAACAUCAUGCAAAUUAACUCUCUAAUUUCAGGGUUUUUGUUGUUCGCGUUAUGAUUGGUUCACCAGGAGUGGGGUUCAUGCCGCAUAUCCUUGAUGUUGCUGGAGAGGUUCAACCUUGACCCUUUAAUGUUUCUUUCUUUGGUAUAGUUUGUUUAUGUUUUUUUUACUACUACAUUUGUAUGGUAAUAAUUGAUUCAGACCAAGACUCUAACACUAACACUGGGCCUCUCUCUGUAUUGAUGAUGAGUGUCAAGAAUAAUACACAGGUAGUUAAAGGUUCAAGGUGCAACCAACAAUACUCGAUGUGGAUGCAACUCGGAGUGUGGAAAGGAUUGCCCCUGCUUAAACAAUUCCCCUGCUGUGAAAAGUAUUGUGGGUAUGUAUUAUGAGUUUAAGAAGUGAUGUCAGCAUCGUUCUUUUAAGAGACAUACAUGCGCACCCGGUUGAACAUGCCAUAUGUUACUAAACUCGAUGAUAUAAUACAAAGUAACUGGUGGAUGGUUGACAUAUUAAGACAAAGCUUGCGUAUCAUCAGUUACAACAACAACGACAGGAAGAAGAAACAACUUAGGUGACUUUCAUUUCACUUGGAUAUUGUGCUAAUAUGGCUUUUCUGGAUGUUAGUAUCCCAGCUCUACCCAGGGCUGCUGCACGUACAACUUUGUUUCAACUACAAUUUCUCUUGCAAAAUGUUUGACAAAGCCUAGCAUUUACAUUCCUAUCAAGAUACAAAAGGUACCUUGGCUGCUACAGUUGAAGAAACGUAGGCGAUGUCUUAUUUGCGGGUUAGACACCGUUCCGGGGUACUGGCGCAAUAUGGGUCAAGUUGGGUAGUGCAACUUGCUGGGUAUUGCUGAUGUAUGCCUGUAAAAUUUAGUUUAAUAUGUUUGUUUUCCUUUUUUGCUUCCUUUGGUGUACUGUGGCGAGCCUUUGGCUUGUAGUGUUUUUUUGGGUUAAUAAAAAAUGGUGUUUUGUUUGCC
Helianthus annuus (common sunflower) is the source of this 1328-nucleotide long non-coding RNA. RefSeq lists it as uncharacterized. The transcript is spliced from 7 exons. The record is from RefSeq and is a predicted model, not a curated record. Lineage: Eukaryota; Viridiplantae; Streptophyta; Magnoliopsida; Asterales; Asteraceae.